UACGGAGGAUGCAAGCGUUAUCCGGAAUCAUUGGGCGUAAAGCGUCUGUAGGUUGUUCAGAAAGUCUAGUGUUAAAGACUAGAGCUUAACUCUGGAAAAGCAUUAGAAACUACUGAACUCGAGUAUGGUAGAGGUAUAGGGAAUUCCUUGUGUAGCGGUGAAAUGCGUAGAUAUAAGGAAGAACACCGGUUGCGAAAGCGCUAUACUGGGCCAUUACUGACACUCAGAGACGAGAGCUAGGGUAGC
RNAcentral lists this ribosomal RNA (246 nucleotides) under uncultured bacterium. RNAcentral describes it as "partial 16S ribosomal RNA". It matches the Rfam family "Bacterial small subunit ribosomal RNA", at positions 524 to 769 of the family's 1533-position model. The record is from RNAcentral.